RNAcentral lists this long non-coding RNA (422 nucleotides) under Dromaius novaehollandiae (emu). RNAcentral describes it as "lncRNA (ENSDNVG00000006236.1)". Lineage: Eukaryota; Metazoa; Chordata; Aves; Casuariiformes; Dromaiidae. The record is from RNAcentral.
CUUCGCCCCCGCCUCCGUGCACGCCGAGGACGGGGACCGGGGCCUGCGGGCGCCCAUCGCCUACUCCCUGCUCGCAGGCCAGGAGAGCGGCCGCUUCCACAUCGACAACGCGACGGGUGCCAUCACGCUGCUGCGGGCCGUGGAGAGCAGCCGGCGGACCCCCGCCAUCAGCCUCAGCGUCAUGGCCUCGCAGGUGAACGAYGCCAACAAGUACGCGGUGACGGAGGCGGUGGUGCGGGUGCUGGCCGCCAACCGSCACCCGCCCCGCUUCGCCCGCCCCGCGUACCGGGCCUUCGUCCCCGCGGCGCCCCGCGAGGCCGUGCUCCUCACCACCUACGGCGGCCGCGUCCUGGCCCUGCGCGCCCACGACCCCGACUUCGAGGACGUGAGUGUCCCCCGCGUGCCGGCCAGGCCCCCCGGGG